AUCACUUCUUGGCCUUUUGGCUAAGAUCAAGUGUAGGAAAUUAGGGAUGACCUGUACAAGAUUUUAUCAUCAGAUUGCUUACAAUCACAGGAAAAUUCUGAGGUUGAUUUCCACUUUUGCUAUUUUAACUGCUUAAUAAUUUUGCCUUAAAUUGUUAAGAAGAAUAUUU
This is a small nuclear RNA of Heterocephalus glaber (naked mole-rat), 169 nucleotides long. Its record names the gene U2. It matches the Rfam family "U2 spliceosomal RNA". From Rfam's summary of the family: U2 is a small nuclear RNA (snRNA) component of the spliceosome (involved in pre-mRNA splicing). Complementary binding between U2 snRNA (in an area lying towards the 5' end but 3' to hairpin I) and the branchpoint sequence (BPS) of the intron results the bulging out of an unpaired adenosine, on the BPS, which initiates a nucleophilic attack at the intronic 5' splice site, thus starting the first of two transesterification reactions that mediate splicing. Lineage: Eukaryota; Metazoa; Chordata; Mammalia; Rodentia; Bathyergidae. The record is from Ensembl.